RNAcentral lists this ribosomal RNA (494 nucleotides) under uncultured bacterium. RNAcentral's name for it is "partial 16S ribosomal RNA". It matches the Rfam family "Bacterial small subunit ribosomal RNA", at positions 28 to 506 of the family's 1533-position model. The record is from RNAcentral.
GACGAACGCUGGCGGCGUGCCUAAUACAUGCAAGUAGAACGCUGAAGGAGGAGCUUGCUUCUCCGGAUGAGUUGCGAACGGGUGAGUAACGCGUAGGUAACCUGCCUGGUAGCGGGGGAUAACUAUUGGAAACGAUAGCUAAUACCGCAUAAGAGUAGAUGUCGCAUGACAUUUGCUUAAAAGGUGCAACUGCACCACUACCAGAUGGACCUGCGUUGUAUUAGCUAGUUGGUGAGGUAACGGCUCACCAAGGCAACGAUACAUAGCCGACCUGAGAGGGUGAUCGGCCACACUGGGACUGAGACACGGCCCAGACUCCUACGGGAGGCAGCAGUAGGGAAUCUUCGGCAAUGGACGGAAGUCUGACCGAGCAACGCCGCGUGAGUGAAGAAGGUUUUCGGAUCGUAAAGCUCUGUUGUAAGAGAAGAACGAGUGUGAGAGUGGAAAGUUCACACUGUGACGGUAUCUUACCAGAAAGGGACGGCUAACUACGU